This 510-nucleotide ribosomal RNA is filed under the name uncultured bacterium. Its description in RNAcentral is "partial 16S ribosomal RNA". It matches the Rfam family "Bacterial small subunit ribosomal RNA", at positions 28 to 507 of the family's 1533-position model. The record is from RNAcentral.
GACGAACGCUGGCGGCGUGCUUAACACAUGCAAGUCGAACGAAGAGCGAUGGAAGCUUGCUUCUAUCAAUCUUAGUGGCGAACGGGUGAGUAACGCGUAAUCAACCUGCCCUUCAGAGGGGGACAACAGUUGGAAACGACUGCUAAUACCGCAUACGAUCUAAUCUCGGCAUCGAGGAUAGAUGAAAGGUGGCCUCUACAUGUAAGCUAUCACUGAAGGAGGGGAUUGCGUCUGAUUAGCUAGUUGGAGGGGUAACGGCCCACCAAGGCGAUGAUCAGUAGCCGGUCUGAGAGGAUGAACGGCCACAUUGGGACUGAGACACGGCCCAGACUCCUACGGGAGGCAGCAGUGGAGAAUCUUCCGCAAUGGACGAAAGUCUGACGAAGCAACGCCGCGUGAGUGAUGACGGCCUUCGGGUUGUAAAGCUCUGUUAAUCGGGACGAAAGGCCUUCUUGCGAAUAGUGAGAAGGAUUGACGGUACCGGAAUAGAAAGCCACGGCUAACUACGUG